GACGAACGCUGGCGGCGUGCUUAACACAUGCAAGUCGAACGGAAAGGCCCUGCUUUUUUGGGGUGCUCGAGUGGCGAACGGGUGAGUAACACGUGAGUAACCUGCCCUGGACUUUGGGAUAACUUCAGGAAACUGGGGCUAAUACCGGAUAGGAGCUCCUGGUGCAUGGUGGGGGUUGGAAAGUUUCGGCGGUUGGGGAUGGACUCGCGGCGUAUCAGCUUGUUGGUGGGGUAGUGGCUUACCUAGGCUUUGACGGGUAGCCGGCCUGAGAGGGAUACGGGCCCCAUUGGGACUGAGACACGGCCCAGACGCCUACGGGAGGGCACAGUGGGGAAUAUUGCACUAUGGGCGGAAGCCUGAUGCAGCAACGCCGCGUGCGGGAUGACGGCCUUCGGGUUGUAAACCGCUUUCGCCUGUGACGAAGCGUGAGUGACGGUAAUGGGUAAAGAAGCACCGGCUAACUACGUG
RNAcentral lists this ribosomal RNA (468 nucleotides) under uncultured bacterium. Its description in RNAcentral is "partial 16S ribosomal RNA". It matches the Rfam family "Bacterial small subunit ribosomal RNA", at positions 28 to 507 of the family's 1533-position model. The record is from RNAcentral.